CAGAUGUCAAAAAUUGCUUGUAUUUAUUUUUUUUAUACGUCCCUAUUCUUACUUGCGUCAAUGGAAGAAGUUUUACCGGAGGGCAAAAAUUUUAGAUUAGUCGACGAAUCAGAGCUUCCAGAAAUAAUCGAAUUCCUCGGCAACUAUUUGCCGGACUCUUUGAAGUUUCAUCAAACUUUAAAGACUUACCUGAACGACAGGGUGUGGGAUUUCCAUUUUUACGUAACGAAAACUUGGCCAGAGCAAGCUGUGAUAUUGCAUUUUCCAGGAAUGACGCGAUCGCCAAACAACAAAUUGUACGAAUCGUUUAGUGUGUUUUGUCCGUGCGAUCAGCUGGACAGUUUAGAGCUGCUGGAAAGUGAGGACGUGCUGAUAGACUGGACGAAGCCGAUUUACCUGAACUACACGCACGCAAGGAUAAUAGAGAAAAUCGAGGAUUUCUAUGGAAAGAUUGGCACCAUGGAAAAACUCUCUGGCGACAUUUAUGGGCUGAUUUAUGGUGCCGAAGAAAAUCUAGUGUUAAAAGAUGAUGAAAACUCAUCAGAGCAGAUAGUUUUUACCGACCAAGCUGAGAUGUUGCAGCUGAAGAAGGAGCAUGCUCAAAUUAUUCACGACCUUUACCCGGCCAAUCAUAUGGAGUGCAUAGAAAUCUUCGAAAAACUAAUCGAGAAGUUGCCUUGCUUCGGAGUGUUUUCUGCUCAAGGCGAUCUGGCCGCAUGGAUGGUCCAAUCUUAUUACGGGGCGAUGUUUUCGAUGCAAACCAGACCGGAAUACAGACGAAAAGGUUACGGAAUCAUAUUGGCGAAGCACCUUACAAAAUUAGUAAGUGAUAGGGGAUAUCUCCCGUUCGUGGUGAUCCGUCCAGAAAACGACGCGUCCAGAUCCCUAUACUCGAAACUCGGAUUCAAAAAAUUAUUCGAAACUUACCGCGCCGUUCUAAGGCCCUACGAGGAGUCCAGAGGAGGCGGCGAGGGAGGAGGAGGUGGAGGUGAACAACAAAUCAAUGGAGACUUAGAAAUUAAGGGAGACCAAUAAGAAUUUUACGGGUUUUUUUCGUUUCUGAUAUAACGCUGCUACGCUUUCAUUUAUUGUUCCCAAGCCAAGAAUCACGAACGUUGUAUUUAUACUCUCUAAUAUUAUGAAUUAAGGAUCUUCUCGAAGUUAGGUUUAAAACGUAGACGGGUUUCAAUGUUAAAGUCUGUUUUGCUUGAGAUUUACUCGAUGAUGCGGGGAAGUACAGAAAUAAUAUUCGUAAAUGCUUUUAAGUCAGAAUCAUUCACGCCGCCCUCUAGUGGAGGCAAAGAAAUCAUUUUUGUUUGCUGCCAUAAGUGUCAACUGUGGUAGUGACAUUGACAGUUUAAUCACAAGGAAGGAACAAGCAGUUUACAGCGUGAUCGUUUGGUCUUGAUGACUUGCUUUUGGUGUCUUUUUCUUAGCUUCUUUUGUCUCAGUUCUGAGUGUACUGCUAAUUCGAGAAAAAUCUUGAAUUUUAUUCUUCCAUAUCUUCUUGGAUAACUCUCCUGAGUCUAUACUCAGAAGCUCUGGUCAUACAACAAUAGGAAUGUUGAGGAGCAGUGGUGUUUAUACGAUUGCGUUGCUUGACGAGGUUAUCUGGCUUACACUGCAGAUAAAUUCAUUUAUUAAUUCUUCCAGGCAAUUGAGAUAAACGCUUAAGCUUCCUGGAUGAAUAAAAAAAUAAGACUGUAAAGAAACUGAAGAACAUUGAAGCCAUUAUCUAGUGUGUCUCUUUCUUUCCCAAAAUAAAUCCAUACUUCUCAUUUAGUUAUUAAUUUUUUAUUUUAGGUAUGUAUUUGAACAACUUUAUCUGCCUGGAAGAAUUAAACAGUUUGUAGAUCAGAAGUGUCAGCUCCAUCUAGUGGAAGCAAAGAUAUUAUUAUUGUUUUCUGUCAUAAGUGUCAACUGUGGUACUGACGUUGACAGUAAUUACAAGGAAGAAACGAACAGCGUACAGCGUCAUCUCUUGGAGGAUGGCCUUCACAACUUGCUUCUGGUGUCUUUUUUGGCUCCGUUUUAUUUUUUGAGUUUAAAUAUUCGAUGUAUGCUGUUAAUUCAAGGAUCUGCUCAUCUUUAAUUUGCAUACUACGUUAUAUUCCUUAUAGUGCUUUCAAUCUUUAAAGGUGCCUGAUAGAUUCCAAAAAAAUCUUGCUUAAAAUUCAUGGACGAAUUCCAAAUUAAUGAAAAACUGAAGAACAGUAAAGCAAUUGUCUAGUGUCCCUCUUUUUUUUCCCAAAAUGAUUUAAUUGCUUCUUCCAGGCAUUUCGAGUCAUUGAAUUUUUAUUCCAGGUACUUAUUUAAACAACUUCAACUGCCUGGAAGAUUUAAACAGUUUAUAGAUCAAAAGUAUUAGCUCCACAGUUCACCACUCAGUGGAAGCUCCAUCUAGUGGAAGCAAAGAUAUCAUUAUUGUUUUCUGUCAUUAGUGUCAACUGUGGUGGUGACAUUGAAAGUUCAAUUACAAGGAAGCAGCUUCAUGUCUUGGUGGAUGGUCUUCAAAACUUGUUUCUGGUGUCUUUUUUUUGCUUCUACUGUCUCGGUUUUAUUUCUUGAGUUACUAUAAGCUUCUCGGUAUUCUGUGUGUGCUAUUAAUUCAAGGAUCUGCACAUCUUUAGUUUGCAUACUACGUUAUAUUCCUUUCGGUGCUUCCAAGCUUUAAAUGUGCCUGACAGAUUUCAGAAAAAUCUUGCUUAAAAUUCAUGGAUGAAUUAAAAAAAUAAGACUUUUUAAGAAACUGAAGAACAGUGAAUCAAGUGUGUCUCUUUUUUUCCCAAAAUUAAUCCAUUACUUCUCCCAGGCAUUUCGAAUCAAUUAUUUUUUGUUCCAGGUACUUGUUUAAACAACUUCAACUGCCUGGAAGAUUUAAACAGUUUAUAGAUCAAAAGUAUCAGCUCCACAGUUCACCACUCAGUGGAAGCUCCAUCUAGUGGAAGCAAAGAUAUCAUUAUUGUUUUCUGUCAUUAGUGUCAGCUGUGGUGGUGACAUUGACAGUUUAAUUACAAGGAAGAAAGAAACAGCAUACAGCUUCAUGUCUUGGUGGAUGGUCUUCAUCUUUAAUUUGCAUACUACGUUAUAUUCCUUAUGGUGCUUCCCAGCUUUAAAGGUGCCUGACAGAUUCCAAAAAAAUCUUGCUUAAAAUUCAUGGACGAAUUACAAAUUAUUGAAAAACUGAAGAACAGUAAAGCAAUUGUCUAGUGUUCCACUUUUUUUUCCCAAAAUGAAUUAAUUUCUUCUUCCAGGCAUUUCGAGUCAUUGAAUUUUUAUUCCAGGUACUUGUUUAAACAACUUCAACUGUCUGGAAGAUUUAAACAGUUUAUAGAUCAAAAGUAUCAGCUCCACAGUUCACCACUCAGUAGAAGCUCCAUCUAGUGGAAGCAAAGAUAUCAUUAUUCUUUUCUGUCAUUAGUGUCAACUGUGGUGGUGACAUUGAAAGUUCAAUUACAAGGAAGCAGCUUCAUGUCUUGGUGGAUGGUCUUCACAACUUGUUUCUGGUGUCUUUUUUUUGCUUCUACUGUCUCGGUUUUAUUUCUUGAGUUACCAUAUGCUUCUGGGUAUUCUGUGUGUGCCAUUAAUUCAAGGAUCUGCGCAAUUUUUGUUUGCAUACUACGUUAUAUUCCUUCCGGUGCUUCCCAGCUUUAAAGGUGCCUGACAGAUUCCAAAAAAAUCUUGCUUAAAAUUCAUGGACGAAUUACAAAUUAAUAAAAAACUUAAGAACAGUAAAGCAAUUGUCUAGUGUUCCACUUUUUUUUCCCAAAAUGAAUUAAUUUCCUCUUCCAGGCAUUUCGAGUCAUUGAAUUUUUAUUCCAGGUACUUGUUUAAACAACUUUAACUGCCUGGAAGAUUUAAACAGUUUAUAAAUCAAAAGUAUCAGCUUCACAGUUCACCACUCAGUGGAAGCUCCAUCUAGUGGAAGCAAAGAUAUCAUUAUUGUUUUCUGUCAUUAGUGUCAACUAUGGUAGUGACAUUGACAGUUCAAUUACAAGGAAGAAAGAAACAGCAUACAGCUUCAUGUCUUGAUGGAUGGUCUUCAUCUUUAAUUUGCAUACUACGUUAUAUUCCUUAUGGUGCUUCCAAGCUUUAAAUGUGCCUGACAGAUUCCAAAAAAAUCUUGCUUAAAAUUCAUGGACGAAUUACAAAUUAAUGAAAAACUGAAGAACAGUAAAGCAAUUGUCUAGUGUUCCACUUUUUUUUCCCAAAAUGAAUUAAUUUCUUCUUCCAGGCAUUUCGAGUCAUUGAAUUUUUAUUCCAGGUACUUGUUUAAACAACUUCAACUGCCUGGAAGAUUUAAACAGUUUAUAGAUCAAAAGUAUCAGCUCCACAGUUCACCACUCAGUGGAAGCUCCAUCUAGUGGAAGCAAAGAUAUCAUUAUUCUUUUCUGUCAUUAGUGUCAACUGUGGUGGUGACAUUGAAAGUUCAAUUACAAGGAAGCAGCUUCAUGUCUUGGUGGAUGGUCUUCACAACUUGUUUCUGGUGUCUUUUUUUUGCUUCUACUGUCUCGGUUUUAUUUCUUGAGUUACUAUGAGCUUCUGGGUAUUCUGUGUGUGCUAUUAAUUCAAGGAUCUGCGCAUCUUUAGUUUGCAUACUACGUUAUAUUCCUUAUGGUGCUUCCCAGUUUUAAAGGUGCCUGACAGAUUCCAAAAAAAUCUUGCUUAAAAUUCAUGGACGAAUUCCAAAUUAAUGAAAAACUUAAGAACAAUAAAGCAAUUGUCUAGUGUUCCACUUUUUUUUCCCAAAAUGAAUUAAUUGCUUCUUCCAGGCAUUUCUAGUCAUUAAAUUUUAAUUCCAGGUGCUUGUUUAAACAACUUCAACUGCCUGGAAGAUUUAAACGGUUUAUAGAUCAAAAGUAUCAGCUCCACAGUUCACCACUCAGUGGAAGCUCCAUCUAGUGGAAGCAAAGAUAUCAUUAUUGUUUUCUGUCAUUAGUGUCAACUGUGGUGGUGACAUUGACAGUUCAAUUACAAGGAAGAAAGAAACAGCUGACAGCUUCAUGUCUUGGUGGAUGGUCUUCAUCUUUAAUUUUCAUACUACGUUAUAUUCCUUAUGGUGCUUCCCAGGUUUAAAGGUGCCUGACAGAUUCCAAAAAAAUCUUGCUUAAAAUUCAUGGACGAAUCACAAAUUAAUGAAAAACUGAAGAACAGUAAAGCAAUUGUCUAGUGUUCCACUUUCUUUUCCCAAAAUGAAUUAAUUUCUUCUUCCAGGCAUUUCGAGUCAUUGAAUUUUUAUUCCAGGUACUUGUUUAAACAACUUCAACUGCCUGGAAGAUUUAAACAGUUUAUAAAUCAAAAGUAUCAGCUCCAUAGUUCACCACUCAGUGGAAGCUCCAUCUAGUGGAAGCAAAGAUAUCAUUAUUCUUUUUUGUCAUUAGUGUCAACUGUGGUGGUGACAUUGAAAGUUCAAUUACAAGGAAGCAGCUUCAUGUCUUGGUGGAUGGUCUUCACAACUUGCUUCUGGUGUCUUUUUUUGCUUCUACUGUCUCGGUUUUAUUUCUUGAGUUACUAUAAGCUUCUGGGUAUUCUGUGUGUGCCAUUAAUUCAAGGAUCUGCGCAUAUUUAAUUUGCAUACUACGUUAUAUUCCUUAUGGUGCUUCCCAGCUUUAAAGGUGCCUGACAGAUUCCAAAAAAAUCUUGCUUAAAAUUCAUGGACGAAUUACAAUUUAAUGAAAAACUGAAGAACAGUAAAGCAAUUGUCUAGUGUCCCUCUUUUUUUUUCCCAAAAUGAUUUAAUUGCUUCUUCCAGGCAUUUCUAGUCAUUGAAUUUUUAUUCCAGGUACUUGUUUAAACAACUUCAACUGCCUGGAAGAUUUAAACAGUUUAUAGAUCAAAAGUAUCAGCUCCACAGUUCACCACUCAGUGGAAGCUCCAUCUAGUGGAAGCAAAGAUAUCAUUAUUGUUUUCUGUCAUUAGUGUCAACUGUGGUGGUGACAUUGAAAGUUCAAUUACAAGGAAGCAGCUUCAUGUCUUGGUGGAUGGUCUUCACAACUCGUUUCUGGUGUCUUUUUUUUGCUUCUACUGUCUCGGUUUUAUUUCUUGAGUUACUAUAAGCUUCUCGGUAUUCUGUGUGUGCUAUUAAUUCAAGGAUCUGCACAUCUUUAGUUUGCAUACUACGUUAUAUACCUUACGGCGCUUCCAAGCUUUAAACGUGCCUGAUAGAUUUCAGAAAAAUCUUGCUUAAAAUUCAUGGAUGAAUUAAAAAAAUAAGACUUUUUAAGAAACUGAGGAACAGUGAAUCAAGUGUGUCUCUUUUUUCCCAAAAUUAAUCCAUUACUUCUCCCAGGCAUUUCGAAUCAAUUAUUUUUUGUUCCAGGUACUUGUUUAAACAACUUCAACUGCCUGGAAGAUUUAAACAGUUUAUAGAUCAAAAGUGUCAGCUCCAGAGUUCACCACUCAGUGGAAGCUCCAUCUAGUGGAGGCAAAGAUAUCAUUAUUGUUUUCUGUCAUUAGUGUCAACUGUGGUGGUGACAUUGUCGUUUAUUUACAAGGAAGAACAAACAGCGUACAACGUCAUCACAAGUAGCAGUUAAAUGCAAGCGCACAAAAUAGGGACAGAUGGAAAGGACUGAGGGAGACCUAUGUCCAGCAGUGGACAUUUACGGAUUAAUAAUGAUGAUAGAAGAGGAUUAUACUCAGGAAUUGAAACCAUGCAAAAAUUAUCGUCUAACUAACGUCAGUUUCAAUAUCGAACAACGUUGUCAGUCCGACGAAGGACGCAUGAUUUGACUUUACAUCGGACUGAAAUUAAUAGUUCAUAAAUAAGUAACUAGUCAAGUCUAAUCAUGAUAUUUCUCUGGGGAUAUGUAUUCUGUUCACAGAAAUACGAAUAUUAUUUCUGUAUGGUCCUUUAAAAUGUGGUGUUUAACAGGAGGGUGAGAGCUGCGUGAGCGUUUCGUGACAUAAACACGUCUUAAGUUUUACCGAUCUUUGUCUUAUUAAAACGAUGAAGUUUAAACUAACUAAUUUCCAGUUUACAGCAUAAAAAUUGACAAUUUUUUUAACGAGUCUCCCACAACAUAUGCACCAAGUUUUGCGCUAAAACAACCCACCAAAUAAACGAACUUUAAAAAAUACUCGUUUUAAGGGUAUUUUGUGUACGUUAGUUCUAAACCUCCAAGAAGCUUCAUUAACUUUUUAAGAGCUGUGAUUUGAAUUAUCUUAGACUUUUGCCGCUAGAGGCGUUUUAGGCGUUUAUUAGAAAUUACCAACAUUUCUCUACUUAUUACGUGAAAAAGAAAAGGUGCAUUUUUCUAUUUAAUCCUUUAGUUGUCCCGGUAAUUUGUAUGCAACAGUUUUUGUAUUAAAAUACACUCCUCUGGCGUAUGGAUGCAUUCUGUCCGAUCCGUAUCGAAAUGCGCAUGCUUAUCGCCAGUGGAGCAUAUUUAAUCUAAAAAUUGAAUUUAGGGUGCAUGUUAUUCCUUAAAUAUUUCUUCCAAAUGCUGUACAGGGUAUCCCUCGGAAAUGAUUAUCCUGGAUCAUCUUGUAUACAAGAAAGUUUAAAAGGGGAAUUAGUUUCUUGUCUCGUAGGGCUGUGAACGAUAUUUUUUUCGUAAUCGUGAUUUUUUUUUAGUUUAUCUAUUUGCACGGCAACAAAUUUGGUAAUUGAUAUAAUAAUGGCAAAAAAAUGAUCACACUACGUCGCCCUUAAAUAUAGAGAGUUAUAUGAUUUUUCAAAACAAGGCUGUGACAUUAUAGUAACUAGUUAAAAAUUAGAAAUGAUAAUAAUUUUACGAGAAACUAAUUCCGACUUUAAUAAGAGAGAGUGCCGCUUCGUUUUUUCCCUCUUAUUGGAUAUAUUUAGUACCCUACCUAAUUGCAAAAACUUCAGAGCUCAGAACUUUUGACUUGUGUGCAUACAUAAAUAAAACAUUUACAAAAUC
Anthonomus grandis grandis is the source of this 7886-nucleotide RNA transcript. It is a transcript of the gene named glycine N-acyltransferase-like protein 2, with no coding region annotated. The record is from RefSeq and is a predicted model, not a curated record. The transcript is spliced from 8 exons. NCBI's taxonomy places the organism in Eukaryota, Metazoa, Arthropoda, Insecta, Coleoptera, Curculionidae.